Molecule: ribosomal RNA, 121 nt
Organism: Scylla paramamosain (green mud crab)
Lineage: Eukaryota; Metazoa; Arthropoda; Malacostraca; Decapoda; Portunidae
Source: RefSeq, a predicted model, not a curated record
GCCAACGACCACACUACACGUUGAAUACACCGCUUCUCGUCUGAUCAGCGAAGUUAAGCAACGUUGGGUCCGGUUAGUACUUGAAUGGGUGACCGCCUGGGAACACCAGAUGUUGUUGGCA